RNAcentral lists this ribosomal RNA (445 nucleotides) under uncultured bacterium. Its description in RNAcentral is "partial 16S ribosomal RNA". It matches the Rfam family "Bacterial small subunit ribosomal RNA", at positions 354 to 796 of the family's 1533-position model. The record is from RNAcentral.
GUAGGGAAUAUUGGGCAAUGGAUGCAAGUCUGACCCAGCCAUCCCGCGUGCCGGAAGAAGGCCCUCAGGGUUGUAAACGGCUUUUGACGGUGAAGAAUCGACAGGAUGCGUCCUGUUUUGACGGUAGCCGUUGAAUAAGCACCGGCUAACUCCGUGCCAGCAGCCGCGGUAAUACGGAGGGUGCGAGCGUUGUCCGGAUUUAUUGGGUUUAAAGGGUGCGUAGGCUGGAAGGUCAGUCAGCGGUGAAAAGCUGUCGCUUAACGAUAGGCUUGCCGGAGAUACUUCCUUUCUAGGAUAAGGAGGAGGCCACUGGAACGGAUGGUGUAGCGGUGAAAUGCAUAGAUAUCAUCCAGAACACCGAUUGCGAAGGCAGGUGGCUGUACCUUAAUCGACGCUGAUGCACGAAAGCAUGGGGAGCAAACAGGAUUAGAAACCCCAGUAGUCC